CCAUUAGAUGUUCUGGGCCGCACGCGCGCUACAAUGAUGAAUUCAACGAGUUUAUAACCUUGGUUGAAAAGCCUGGGUAAUCUUUUGAACUUUCGUCGUGAUGGGGCUAGACCCUUGCAAUUAUUGGUCUCCAACGAGGAAUUCCUAGUAAACGCAAGUCAUCAGCUUGCAUUGAUUACGUCCCUGCCCUUUGUACACACCGCCCGUCGCACCUACCGAUUGAAUGGUCCGGUGAAAUCUUCGGAUUGAGACUUUGAUUUGUUUACUCAAAACGCUGUUUCAAGAAGUUGAUUAAACCUUACCAUUUAGAGGAAGGUGAAGUCGUAACA
RNAcentral lists this ribosomal RNA (329 nucleotides) under uncultured eukaryote. RNAcentral describes it as "partial 18S ribosomal RNA". It matches the Rfam family "Eukaryotic small subunit ribosomal RNA", at positions 1470 to 1796 of the family's 1831-position model. The record is from RNAcentral.